RNAcentral lists this ribosomal RNA (311 nucleotides) under uncultured bacterium. RNAcentral's name for it is "bacterial SSU rRNA". It matches the Rfam family "Bacterial small subunit ribosomal RNA", at positions 29 to 322 of the family's 1533-position model. The record is from RNAcentral.
AGCGAACGUUAGCGGCACGCCUAACACAUGCAAGUCGCACGAGAACAGGGGGCAACCCUUAGUAAAGUGGCGCACGGGUGCGUAACACGUAGAUAACCUGCCCUUUGGAGGGGGAUAACGUUCCGAAAGGAGCGGCUAAUACCGCAUACAGCAAGAGCCGGUUCGCCGGUUUUUGGCAAAGGUAGGGAUACCGCAAGGACCUACCGCCAGAGGAGGGGUCUGCGGCCCAUCAGCUAGUUGGUGAGGUAANGGCUCACCAAGGCAGAGACGGGUAGCUGGUCUGAGAGGAUGAUCAGCCACACUGGUACUGG